This 28-nucleotide non-coding RNA is filed under the name Rattus norvegicus (Norway rat). Lineage: Eukaryota; Metazoa; Chordata; Mammalia; Rodentia; Muridae. The record is from RNAcentral.
UAGUUAAGACGUGUUUUAUAUCCUUCCA